RNAcentral lists this ribosomal RNA (521 nucleotides) under uncultured bacterium. Its description in RNAcentral is "partial 16S ribosomal RNA". It matches the Rfam family "Bacterial small subunit ribosomal RNA", at positions 355 to 889 of the family's 1533-position model. The record is from RNAcentral.
UGGGGAACAUUGGACAAUGGGCGCAAGCCUGAUCCAGCCAUGCCGCGUGAGUGAUGAAAGGCCUUAGGGUUGUAAAAGCUCUUUUCGGCGGGGACGAUAAUGACGGUACCCGCAGAAGAAGCCCCCGGCUAACUUCGUGCCAGCAGCCGCGGUAAUACGAAGGGGGCUAGCGUUGCUCGGAAUCACUGGGCGUAAAGGGCGCGUAGGCGGACAUUUAAGUCGGGGGUGAAAGCCCAGGGCUCAACCCUGGAAUUGCCUCCGAUACUGGGUGUCUCGAGACCGGAAGAGGUGAGUGGAACUGCGAGUGUAGAGGUGAAAUUCGUAGAUAUUCGCAAGAACACCAGUGGCGAAGGCGGCUCACUGGUCCGGUUCUGACGCUGAGGCGCGAAAGCGUGGGGAGCAAACAGGAUUAGAUACCCUGGUAGUCCACGCCGUAAAACGAUGGAUGCUAGCCGUUGGCAGGNUUGCCUGUCAGUGGCGCAGCUAACGCUUUAAGCAUCCCGCCUGGGGAGUACGGCCGC